RNAcentral lists this ribosomal RNA (434 nucleotides) under uncultured bacterium. RNAcentral's name for it is "partial 16S ribosomal RNA". It matches the Rfam family "Bacterial small subunit ribosomal RNA", at positions 29 to 506 of the family's 1533-position model. The record is from RNAcentral.
AGCGAACGCUGGCGGCAGGCUUAACACAUGCAAGUCGAGCGGGCACUUUCGGGUGUCAGCGGCGGACGGGUGAGUAACGCGUGGGAACGUGCCCUCUGGUUCGGAAUAACUCAGGGAAACUUGAGCUAAUACCGGAUACGCCCUUUUGGGGAAAGGCUUGCUGCCGGAGGAUCGGCCCGCGUCUGAUUAGCUAGUUGGUGAGGUAACGGCUCACCAAGGCGACGAUCAGUAGCUGGUCUGAGAGGAUGAUCAGCCACACUGGGAUUGAGACACGGCCCAGACUCCUCCGGGAGGAAGCAGUGGGGAAUUUUGGAAAAUGGGCCCAAGCCUGAUCCAGCCAUGCCGGGGGAGUGAUGAAGGCCUUAGGUUUGUAAAGCUCUUUUUCCCGGGACGAUAAUGACGGUCCCGGAGGAAUAAGCCCCGGCUAACUUCGG